CCUACGGGUGGCAGCAGUGAGGAAUAUUGGUCAAUGGACGAGAGUCUGAACCAGCCAAGUAGCGUGAAGGAUGACUGCCCUAUGGGUUGUAAACUUCUUUUAUAUGGGAAUAAAAUGUUCCACGUGUGGGAUUUUGUAUGUACCAUAUGAAUAAGGAUCGGCUAACUCCGUGCCAGCAGCUGCGGUAAUACGGCGGAUCCGAGCGUUAUCCGGAUUUAUUGGGUUUAAAGGGAGCGUAGGUGGAUUGUUAAGUCAGUUGUGAAAGUUUGCGGCUCAACCGUAAAAUUGCAGUUGAAACUGGCAGUCUUGAGUACAGUAGAGGUGGGCGGAAUGCGUGGUGUAGCGGUGAAAUGCUUAGAUAUCACGAAGAACUCCGAUUGCGAAGGCAGUUCACUGGACUGCAACUGACACUGAGGCUCGAAAGUGUGGGUAUCAAACAGGAUUAGAUACCCGAGUAGUC
RNAcentral lists this ribosomal RNA (460 nucleotides) under uncultured bacterium. RNAcentral's name for it is "partial 16S ribosomal RNA". It matches the Rfam family "Bacterial small subunit ribosomal RNA", at positions 338 to 795 of the family's 1533-position model. The record is from RNAcentral.